RNAcentral lists this ribosomal RNA (253 nucleotides) under uncultured bacterium. RNAcentral describes it as "partial 16S ribosomal RNA". It matches the Rfam family "Bacterial small subunit ribosomal RNA", at positions 524 to 776 of the family's 1533-position model. The record is from RNAcentral.
UACGGAGGGAGCUAGCGUUGUUCGGAAUUACUGGGCGUAAAGCGCACGUAGGCGGCUUUGUAAGUUAGAGGUGAAAGCUCGGGGCUCAACUCCGGAACUGCCUUUAAGACUGCAUCGCUUGAAUCCGGGAGAGGUGAGUGGAAUUCCGAGUGUAGAGGUGAAAUUCGUAGAUAUUCGGAAGAACACCAGUGGCGAAGGCGGCUCACUGGACCGGUAUUGACGCUGAGGUGCGAAAGCGUGGGGAGCAAACAGG